AUUGAACGCUAGCGGCAUGCCUUACACAUGCAAGUCGAGCGAGUGGCGGACGGGUGAGUAAUAUAUCGGAACGUGCCCAAUAGCGGGGGAUAACUACUCGAAACGGUGGCUAAUACCGCAUACUAUCGGAGCGGCCCAUAUCGGAUUAGCUAGUUGGUGGGGUAAAGGCUCACCAAGGCAACGAUCCGUAGCUGGUUUGAGAGGACGAACAGCCACACUGGGACUGAGAAACGGCCCAGACUCCUACGGGAGGCAGCAGUGGGGAAUUUUGGACAAUGGGGGAAACCCUGAUCCAGCCAUCCCGCGUGUAUGAGAAGGCCUUCGGGUUGUAAAGUACUUUUGGCAGAGAAGCGGUAUCUGCAGAAGAAGCACCGGCUAACUACGUGCCAGCAGCCGCGGUAAUAC
RNAcentral lists this ribosomal RNA (405 nucleotides) under uncultured bacterium. RNAcentral describes it as "partial 16S ribosomal RNA". It matches the Rfam family "Bacterial small subunit ribosomal RNA", at positions 30 to 526 of the family's 1533-position model. The record is from RNAcentral.